Molecule: ribosomal RNA, 245 nt
Filed under: uncultured bacterium
Lineage: Bacteria
Description: partial 16S ribosomal RNA
Rfam family: Bacterial small subunit ribosomal RNA
Source: RNAcentral
UACGGAGGGGGCUAGCGUUGUUCGGAAUUACUGGGCGUAAAGCGCGCGUAGGCGGACCUGCAAGUCGGGGGGUGAAAGCCCGAGGCUCAACCUCGGAACUGCCUUCGAUACUGCGGGUCUCGAGUCCGGGAGAGGUGAGUGGAAUUCCUAGUGUAGAGGUGAAAUUCGUAGAUAUUAGGAAGAACACCAGUGGCGAAGGCGGCUCACUGGCCCGGUACUGACGCUGAGGCGGCGAAAAGCGUGGG